Hippocampus zosterae (dwarf seahorse) is the source of this 436-nucleotide long non-coding RNA. RefSeq lists it as uncharacterized. Lineage: Eukaryota; Metazoa; Chordata; Actinopteri; Syngnathiformes; Syngnathidae. The transcript has 2 exons. The record is from RefSeq and is a predicted model, not a curated record.
ACGAGACGAAAUGAGGAGAGAGGAGCGUUGGCGAAGAGGGCCGAUGCGUAUUUGGAACCGUGAGUCGCCGCUUGGAAUUGAAAUGGAUUUCCAUGGGACAGGAGAAGUGAACCAAUCUCUUUUUUCGUCAAUGGAUGCUACAGCUACUUGUUGACUUUGAAACUUAGCUUGUAGCCGACGUGUGCACAUUUUGAGCAUGACGUCUCUGAUCCACUGGUUAAAGGACACUUUGAUUCUCUCCUCAUUCAUCUCAAACCGCUUCAAACAACAAAGCGUGUGAUGGAAAAGUGGUUAGAACUGCAUGACUGUCCGUGUUUUAUGUUAUGUGUUGUGUUUAUUAUUUUACUUUAUGUUAGCUGUAUUGUAAAGCGCUUUGUUACAGCUGCCGCUGUUGUGAAAGCGCUAUAUAAAUAAGCAUGUAUUGUAUUGUAUUGUA